This 244-nucleotide unclassified non-coding RNA is filed under the name uncultured fungus. RNAcentral's name for it is "sequence contains ITS1, 5.8S rRNA gene". The stretch from base 196 to 244 matches the Rfam family "5.8S ribosomal RNA", at positions 1 to 49 of the family's 154-position model. Lineage: Eukaryota; Fungi. The record is from RNAcentral.
UCUCCGUUGGUGAACCAGCGGAGGGAUCAUUGCUGGAACAAACGCCCUCACGGGUGCUACCCAGAAACCCUUUGUGAAUUAUUCUCUAUAACUGUUGCCUCGGCGGGCCUCUGGGAUUCGUCCCAUGUCCGCCGGCGGCCCCUAUAAACUCUGUUACUUAUAAGCAAUCUGAGCGUUUUCCAAAAAUAAAGUUAAAACUUUCAACAACGGAUCUCUUGGUUCUGGCAUCGAUGAAGAACGCAGC